GACGAACGCUGGCGGCGUGCUUAACACAUGCAAGUCGAACGGAAAGGCCCUGCUUUUGUGGGGUGCUCGAGUGGCGAACGGGUGAGUAACACGUGAGUAACCUGCCCUUGACUUUGGGAUAACUUCAGGAAACUGGGGCUAAUACCGGAUAGGAGCUCCUGCUGCAUGGUGGGGGUUGGAAAGUUUCGGCGGUUGGGGAUGGACUCGCGGCUUAUCAGCUUGUUGGUGGGGUAGUGGCUUACCAAGGCUUUGACGGGUAGCCGGCCUGAGAGGGUGACCGGCCACAUUGGGACUGAGAUACGGCCCAGACUCCUACGGGAGGCAGCAGUGGGGAAGAUUGCACAAUGGGCGGAAGCCUGAUGCAGCAACGCCGCGUGCGGGAUGACGGCCUUCGGGUUGUAAACCGCUUUCGCCUGUGACGAAGCGUGAGUGACGGUAAUGGGUAAAGAAGCACCGGCUAACUACGUG
This 468-nucleotide ribosomal RNA is filed under the name uncultured bacterium. Its description in RNAcentral is "partial 16S ribosomal RNA". It matches the Rfam family "Bacterial small subunit ribosomal RNA", at positions 28 to 507 of the family's 1533-position model. The record is from RNAcentral.